UCUUGCUAAGCCUCCAUUUGUCCGCAAUACCUCAUCUCCCUGGACGCAGGACAAGAACUCAGGACCCGCCUGGAGGACUGACAUUCAGACGUGGAGCAAGUUGGACUGCAUAGGGACCCACCAGUGAGAUGGACGCUGUCUGUAAACGGGGAAAUUUAUGGAAAGAUGUCCUCCUGCAACUGCUGAAAAUGCAACAUGCUGCCCAGGUCCUGCUCAGACCACUGACAACUCAGAAGUUAAUACUCAGAGUGGAAAGGUGAGUAAAGGCUGUUUAAUGACCACCCCAUGAAAAGAGUCAGAAUUACAUCCCUCUUGAUUCCUGUUUCUUUCUGAACAACAUAAAUGUAAUGUAAGCCAAGCUAAUACAUGCUGUUUUGUGGUAUAUAAUGGGUUUUCUGUAGCCAGAUGUGGCGCUGAUUAUUAUUUUUUUUCUGCAAACCUGUGUUACUUUCAGCGUAGCAAAGUGUAGUACAUGAGCAAGCGUUUCAAGCCAGACGGAGUUAAUCAUCUCUGUCACUGAAUUGGAGCUCACGGUCUGCUGGACAACUGUGCUGAGUGGAAAGGAAGCCUCGAUGGCUAAGUCACUUGUCCAACCUCAGACACUGGCAGAUCCAGGAUUCAAACAGCUAGACUCCAAAUGUGUUUCCUUUAACCUCUUUUCUACCUUUUCAACUUGAUUCCACACAUCACCACUGGGAAAGCUUAGGUGAGUAAGUCAUGUGGGCUUUGGUUUUUUCAUCUGCACGAUGGAUAGACUGAGACCUUCUUCCCUCAUGCCUCUGAGGAUGACAUAAAAAACCCACAAAAUCCCUAGUCCACUUACUUGCUCACAGAUAUUUACUGAGUGAGCAUCUGAUUUCCAUCCCAUUGUCACCUUCUCCCUAGCUGUCCAGACACCCUGCUUGCCUGGCCAAUGCCACCAAAGAAUGGAACCUGCUUUUGUUCCACACUCCGUAGCCAGAAAAAAGAGACAGUUGUUCUGGCAUGUUAUUGUUUGAUUUUAUUUUACCUCAGGGAUUAAAAAAAAUGACUAUCAAUUAUAGCAACAUCAGGUAGAGGGUUUGGUAUACAUUUCCGAUGAGCUUAGAUUUCUCUCAAAUUCUCAUACUUUUAAGAUUUAUUUUUAAAUGUGAGCAUUGAAACUUAACCAAUCCUUUAGACUCUUACUCAACAAGGGAUUCUAAAGAACAUUUCUCAGUAGGAAUUAAUCAUUUAUUUUGAAACUACAUAUCUAAUUUGUCUACUAUGGGAAGGAUAUGGAAAGAGAAAACCCAAUUCUUUUUAUUUUUUGGAACAGCUGGGUCCCCAAACCACCAGCAGCUGCUUCACAAAUUGCCUAGCCAUUAAGUAAUUAUUUCCUCAUCAUAAGAGCAGCUGGAAGAGCUAGUCUCUCUCCCUCCCCAGUGCAACUCCCACUUCCUUCUGCCUCCUCCACCCUGUCCUGAAAUGGGCAGGCCAAGAGGUAUACGGUAUUGGUUUUCUUUACGUAAUUGAAGACUGGAAUUGAGCACUCUGAUAGCUGAUUAUUUUUCA
RNAcentral lists this long non-coding RNA (1533 nucleotides) under Homo sapiens (human). RNAcentral describes it as "HSALNT0383286". Lineage: Eukaryota; Metazoa; Chordata; Mammalia; Primates; Hominidae. The record is from RNAcentral.